GUGUGCUUUUCGGAUCUGUUAAAUAUAACUUUUUCAAGUUGUCUUCCAGGAUUCAGAGUUCUUAGUUUCAGCUCAGUGGUCCCAGAGGAAGCUCAAAGAACAGGGAAAAAAAUGUGAUAAGACUGAGUCUAUUUAUAAAUCACUUGUGGUGCUGCACAGAAUAUGGUCAAAACUGGAACUUGUUGUGGUCUUAUGAACC
Molecule: non-coding RNA, 199 nt
Organism: Vicugna pacos (alpaca)
Lineage: Eukaryota; Metazoa; Chordata; Mammalia; Artiodactyla; Camelidae
Source: RefSeq, a predicted model, not a curated record